Aricia agestis (brown argus) is the source of this 427-nucleotide long non-coding RNA. RefSeq lists it as uncharacterized. Lineage: Eukaryota; Metazoa; Arthropoda; Insecta; Lepidoptera; Lycaenidae. The record is from RefSeq and is a predicted model, not a curated record. The transcript is spliced from 3 exons.
GCCUGACCUUUUAUUUAUUAUCUAAAGUAUUCUAGGUGAAACUACUGGCUGAGUAACGUGAGCUCUUUCUUAGGUACUUACAUAAUGGCUGACACCAAUAAUGAUAAUUAUAACCGUCCCGUAUCACCGUCAAUUUUACAACCGCACCCGCGGAAACGAAAGAAUGAAACAUCUGAUAGCAGUGAAGCGAUGAUUGGCACAGCAAAGAAGAAAUUGAACGUUGCGUACAUUGAAGGAGUAAAUACUGGCCUACAUGAUUGUACCUGUCUUCGAAAUGAAAAGGCAUUAACUUUUCGUUUUCUCAUAAACGGAAUUCCAGAUAAAAAAAUAGAAAUAUUUUGGGAUGAAGUAUUAAAUGUCGUGCAAAAGUAUUCAUCUGAAUAAUUGUACAUACCUAUAGAUACGAAAUUUCGGAUAUAAUAUAUUA